CCCCGUGUUCUGUCACGGGUAUCCUAUCGGAGUGUGCGUCAACGGAAAAACCAUCUGAGGAUGCUGUUGGGGUGCGAAGCCUCCGGGACAAAGUAGCCUCAGCCUGAUGGCUGGUCACUUAACCGCGAGGAGCAGUGGCGACUGCCAGCAUCAAGGCGGUCGGGAGC
Candidatus Cloacimonetes bacterium 4572_55 is the source of this 167-nucleotide non-coding RNA. NCBI's taxonomy places the organism in Bacteria, Pseudomonadati, Candidatus Cloacimonadota. The record is from Rfam.